AACCCACUGAACAAGGCCAGGGAUCGAACCCACAACCUCAUGGGUUCCUGUUCGGAUUCGUUAACCACUGUGCCACAACAGGAAUUCCCAGAGGGACCGCUUUAAGGGUGUCAAAGGGCUCACUCCAACUCCCAGCCUUUUAAAACCAAACCUUAGAGUAGUCAUGGGAGUGAACCAGAAUGCUCAGGCUUCGUUCAAAUGUGCGAGGAACUCUGUGACCAGCAGUGGAUGCUCUCCUAGGGUGGGCGAGGGGAGGGGCACGCUCCGACCAGACAGUUGGGGGAACAGCAGAGUGUCAGAGUCUCUGUUAGAGGCGGGAACAGCCUCACUCUCUGGUCCCAAGGUCAUGGUAAUUGACAGACAAAUAAGCCGAGAGCGGGAAAAGCUGCCCGUUCCAAGAGUGUGUAUGAACAACUUGGCAGGACCACCAUCUGAACCUGGGAGAACUAUCUCCCCACGUAUGUUUAGUCAAACCUCAUUCCUGCAUGUGCCCCUCUCAGCUGCUGACUGCUGCGUGACCUUGGGCAAGGCAGUUAACCUCUCUGAGCUCCAGUUUCCCCAAGUGACAAACAAGAGGAGGAGGUGGUAGGGGUCCCCUCUAAUUCUAAAAUCAAGGCUGUUAUCAUUCUUCCCAGAUGAACCUGGGAUAUUGGUUAAUGAACAACUGCUGGUGAAAGCUGGGCACAGCAAGUCGUGGACUGGACUCUGCCGUGUGAUGGGCACCAAGGGGGCAAAAAGAUGGACAAGAAGGAAAAGAAACAUGGGUUUUUGUCCUCCCGCCCUCUCUGCUCCCUUGCUUUCCUUCCUUCCCCAAAGGUCACUCUCUACAGGCCUCGCUCUUGACACCGGAGACCCAGAGAUGGAGUAGACAAAGCCCCCGCCUGUCAAAUCUGAACCGACUGCUUGGAAAAGGUUGUCUGCCGCCACCGGGGACCUUUUCUGGGUACAUGGCUUUCCCCCGACUUAAAGCUGAGUCCACCGCAGGGCAGAACUUGUCCUGGGAAAGCUUUGUGCUUGUCAAGUAAGUUUUCUUUCCUUCACAGUCACCUUCCUGCCCUUUUCAAAAAAGGGCUGACCCAGAAACGGUGAGGUCAAGUCCCAAAUCAACAAGAAACCUUGUGUGUGCGUGAGUGUCGGAGGUGGGAUUCUGCUCUGCAGGACGCUGCAGUGGGCUGGAGCAGCCCAGGAAGCCCAUGGAAACGGAGUGGGCUGCAUUCACAGAGGUUAGACAGCUGACUGCUAAGAUGGGCAUACACUCUUUACAUUUUCAUCGACAGUUGAAGAAGCCACGCCAAGGAACUCAAGACGGUGAAUCUCAAGGAUCCCACAGGGAAGAGCCUGUUUUGUUGAAACCGACAUUAGCAGUGAAGGGCAGGUACUUUAUCAGAUGGUUUUCCUUAUUCUGCCCCCCACCCCCAUGGCAUGGGCCUUGCAGGAGGCUAAAGAGCACACAGAGGGAGAGGUGAAUUCUCAUCUGUCACAUUCACAGCCGCUUUCUCCUGGAAGAGAUGCCUAGAUGAAGCGGCAGGUUGCUGGGACCCAGAGAGCAUCUGUGCGUGGUUUAGGUGCCCUGGCUGAGACUCAAGCUGCCUUGGGUUCAAUGCCACGUCCUCCUCUUACACACCGGGACACGCUACACAUCUUUUUGGGACCCCAGUUUCAUGCCACUGUGGCCAGAAGGGUUAGUGCUGAGUUGGGGGGAACUGAGUUUGAAACCAGGUCCUACCACUUACUGGCUCUAGGGCUCUGGGUGAGUUUUUAACCUCUGCAAACCCUGCUUUCUCCAUCUGUAAAGUGGGGAUGAUAGCACCAGCUGCUUCCUAGUGUUGGUUCGGGGGGUGAGCGAGACAGGGCACCUAGGGUCCUGGGCAAAGGACUGGCAAAUAGAAGGACUAAGCUGAGCUUCGCUAUGUGUCCCUCGCAUCGAAUCACACUCCCCUUGGGCCGUGGGGUCUGCGAGGGCAGAGAUCUGAUCUGUCUUUUCUCCUAGGGCUUGGUCUUGCCGAAACCUGCAGCUGCCUUCCCUCGAGAGGCUAUUACGCUGUCAGCAAGUGCUGGACGAAUGAAAUGCAUGAAUGCCUUGCCCAGGCAGUGUCUUCAGGCCUAGGCACCGGGAGGCUGUCAUCCAGAAGGAGAAUGAUGCUAAGCAGGGCUCAGGAAGGUUUCCUCAUUUCACCUUCGGAGCAAGACGAAAGGCGGAUUCUGACUCCCCCAGUUUACAGAUGGGGAAACCGUAGCAUGAGAAGGAUGUUACGUAACUUGCCCAAGGACAUACAUGCGUGAUGGAGACAGAACCGAAGCCCAGGCAGUUCUGGGUGAGCUUUGUGCAAUGACGGCGCCUGUGUGUCCACCUGAUCGCUACUGGCCCAGCGACAGCAACGGGGACAGAGCAUGCAGUGCUGUCAGAUACGGACUCUGCUGGGGACUGGACCACAGGGACCUUAGCGAAUUCGAGGAAAAUGAAGCCAGUGCUGUCCAUUUAACCUCUGUUUCUGGAAGACACGGAGAAUUCCUCUUGCUCAAGGCUGUUUCUAUCCACCAUGCCUUUGCCUCUUUAGGGUCACUAUGUGACUUUCGCCUGCCUGGCAUUUCUUCUGAUGAUAGGAAUUCUCUCUUUGUUUGGGGGAACCCUACUCUCAACCUCUGAAUUUGGAUGGACUUGGCUUCCUGGAGGCCAAGGACAGCAUCUCCAUUCCUCUGUCCAGGGUGUUUGAUUCAGGCAGGGACAUGUGACCUUGGACUAUGGGCAAAGAGGCACUGUCUUUUCCCUGGGUUUACAGAGCUGGCAGCAUCCAAGCCCGGUGGGUCCCUCUGUCAUCAGAUGGGGAAUGCCUGCAUGACUAUGAGGUUAAACAAAGAGAAACAGAGUCAAGAGACAGAGAAAGAGACUCAUGGAGAUGUUAUUUGGAUGCCUGGAUCUAGCCACACUGCUAGGGAAAUGACCCCCCGGACUUUUUAGUUCUAUCACUCAUUCACAUUUUCUUUUCUUAUAAAAAGCACUUGGAGUUGGGUUUCUAGCCUUUACAGCUGGGAGUCCUGUCCAAACCACUCUGACUGCUUACUCAGCCUGGAGUUCCUCUCCUGGUCUCCUCCCCAAUCCAUGAGGUUGAAACUCAACUCAGAGACGGCAUGAGCCCAAUGUUCACUGCAGCACUAUUGACAAUAGCCAAGACGUGGAAGCAACCUAAAUGCCCACUGACAGAUGCGUGGGUAAAGAUGACAUGGUACAUUUAUAUAAUGGAAUAUUACUCAGCCUUGCAAAAAAGAAUGUAGUAAUGCUAUUUGCAACAACAUGGAUGGACAGGGAGAUCAUCAUAAUAAGCGAAGGAAGCCGUAGAAAGGCAAAUAUCAUGAUAUCACUUACAUGUGGAAUCCUUAAAAAAUAUAUUACAGAUGAACCUAUAUACAAAACAGAAAUAGACUCCUAGGCAUAGAAAACAAAUUUAUGGUUA
Non-coding RNA from Sus scrofa (pig), 3452 nucleotides. Lineage: Eukaryota; Metazoa; Chordata; Mammalia; Artiodactyla; Suidae. The record is from RefSeq and is a predicted model, not a curated record.